RNAcentral lists this long non-coding RNA (1761 nucleotides) under Amphibalanus amphitrite. RNAcentral's name for it is "uncharacterized LOC122385548". The record is from RNAcentral. Lineage: Eukaryota; Metazoa; Arthropoda; Thecostraca; Balanomorpha; Balanidae.
GAAAGUUCCAUGUCAUUUACCCGCGUGAUUUUAUUUGCGAUGUUUACUAUGUCAAAUUUGAAAUCUGUGCGCAUAUUUAUUUGGAUAUCAUUGAAACUUUGACUUUUGUUGGAAUCUUGAUCAGUUUUUUGUUUGUUUUGUUUAUUUUAUUGAAGAGAAAAUUGCAUCUAUAGACUUUCGGCGCACUGUAGAUGAAAUUUUACUACAAAUUAUAUGUCUCAGUGCAAAGUCUCGUUUUGUUGAGUUAGCAUUACAUUUCAUCUACAAGCCAUAACGUAAUUUGAGGCACCUUUGCUGUUUUAGUAAGAACUAAGAAUUAAAUGGACACAAGAACUAAGAAAAUGAACCUGGAAGAGGAAGAAAAUUACGAAUCGAUCAAACGACAACGAGCGAACGCAAAGCGUCGAGUGAGUGGAAGCAGACGCAGCCGGCCCCAGCGGGCGCUCAGCUGGCGCCGACGGAGGGAGGCCCGGCCCAGGGUAUAUUGAGUGAAGCCCGGCCGGCGCUCAGUGUGCCGCCAGCGGGCCGCAGGGUUGGAUCUACUCUGGGACGGCCGCCAACUGGACUGGCAGUAUGCCGGAGCCGCUCAGUAUCAGUGUGCUGGGCGCGGGCGUGGUCGGCCUGCACGUGGCCGUGCGACUGCAGACGGACUUUCCGGCGGCGCGGGUCACCAUAAUCGCCGCCGGCCAGGGCGCCCAGACGACCAGCAUCGGCGCCGCCGGCAUCUUCAGGCCGGGCGUCUUCAACGCCGCCACUCCCACACUCACACGGUGGGUGAUUCACCGGGGAAAUCUCUUAUGAAACAAUUAGGAAGUUCUCCAAUGCCUAUCCAUCAACACGUGUUGGGCGGGGAAAAGCCGUCUGUACCGAUUCAUUAACACGUGUUUCGCCGGGAAGGCGAAGUCUGUACCUAUCCAUUAACCCUAUUAGUGGCAGGCUCCUGGCUACCCCCUAUUAGUGGCAGGGGGGGGGGCUGUUUACGACCCCCCCUUGAUAUCUCGAGAUCUAACGGGCCGAUUUUCAAAAUUCAAACGGCAUUCGAUUUCCCUCAACGUGAUCUACAUUUCUAAAAAAUAAAAAUUAAAAAAUGUCAAUAGGGGGGGUAGAGGGGGGUAAAAACGGGCAAAUUGCAGAUACAUUUUAGACUGUUUAUCACGGCCAGGUUUCUGAACCAAUCUUAACGCAACUUUUGCCGAUCGAUAGAGAAUGAAUCAGGAAUUCACAUGGAUCCUAAAAAUAUGCAUUUUCAAAAAUCAUAGGCGGAUACAGAUCAUUGAGAUUGGGGGUACACAAAAAGUAUAGUAAAAAAGGUUUUUGUUGGUGCUGUUUCUAAAAAGGGUGGUAAUGGUCUUGUUAUGUUAUAAUUUUCUUAUGAGAGAACGACUAAAAUUGUAUUGGUAAUGCAUAGGCGGUGUCAGGGCACCUAUGUUGGGAGGUAAAACAUAACCCCCCUUUUUGGACGCCUGGAUCCGCCUAUUAUUGCAAAAACGUGUCAAAAGAGGAUGCACAAUAACUGUAUAUGUUAUCACAUGAUACCUUUUAUUCACUGUUCGUAAAACUGGUGCAGCAUCGUGAUCUUCGCCCAAAUGACUCGCUUCACGAAUAGGACCCCCCAAUUUCCAGUGCUCUGGAGCCGCCCCUGGUAAAGUUAUGAACUUGAAAUUUUCAGGGAAUGUGCCCAAUUUAGUUUUAGGAAAAGUCAGAAAAUUUCAGCAUCGUAGCUUCAGCGGUUUCGGAGAUAUUCCCGAAAAACCUGAGGGG